This 211-nucleotide unclassified non-coding RNA is filed under the name soil metagenome. Its description in RNAcentral is "partial contains 5.8S ribosomal RNA, internal transcribed spacer 2, and large subunit ribosomal RNA". The record is from RNAcentral.
AACCUAGCACACCUGCGGUGUGUACCUGCGGAAGGAUCAUUACCGAGUGCGGUCCCAUAUAAGGGGCGCCUCCCGUCCUUUGCAGGGCCUUUAGGGGCUUUUUGACUUUGCUUCGGCGGGCUUGCCCCGCCGGAACACCCUCAAGAAAAUCUUUAUGAACCGUUUGUCUGAGUUGCUUGCGAAUAAAAACAAAACUUUUAACAACGGAUCU